GCGACUAAGAGCGAAUUAACUCCACUCCGCCGUCGGAGAAUCAGAAACAGUAUUCUGAAUGGACAAGGGUAAAGGUUUGAUGGUGGACGGCCGGCGAUGGGCCGUCGAUUUCUCCGACAAUUCUUCAUCGAAUUCGACUCGCGAUAUUACUGAUCCGCCCGGUUUCACUCGUGCUUCUCAAGAUCAAGACGAUUCCACUCUCAGCCGCCAAAAGAAGGAUGCCGAAUCCAAUUGGAAGGCACAGAAAGCUUGGGAAGUGGCACAGGCGCCUUUGAAGAAUUUGUUCAUGAUGGGCUUCAUGAUGUGGAUG
Molecule: unclassified non-coding RNA, 310 nt
Filed under: Hevea brasiliensis (rubber tree)
Lineage: Eukaryota; Viridiplantae; Streptophyta; Magnoliopsida; Malpighiales; Euphorbiaceae
Source: RNAcentral